AAAUUUGGGCUCAGAAAUAUUGUUUAGGGAGCUGAAAGGAGAAAUAUUUCCUCCUGUCCUCCAACUGUGAUUUCGGGAGCUACUUCCUCGGACACACCAAAAUGAAUGUCUCUUUUCACUGUAAAUAUUUUGCAUUUGCAAGAGCUUUUUAUUUAAUUUAUUUAAUUUUCUUUUCUUACAGCCACCCACAGCACCAAUUUGAAAGCCGUCAUCACUGGGAAGCAAGUUUAAAACCAGCAUAACAAAUCCAAACCUAAGCAGCUUUCCUCAUGUUGCUCGCCACGUUUGAAAUCUGGAAAGCCCUCUCCUCCCACUGUUCCCUCCUGCAAGGUGUUCACAGCUGGUGGUGGGAAAUGGAGCACAUGGGAAGCAAGGGGAAAUCAAACUACUCCAAACGUUUCUUCACUGCCAAUUGCCUUUUCCUUACCUCCCAGACCACUGCUUCAUGGUGGGUAUGAUGCUGGCUUGGUGACCAUCCUGGUGCUGCUCUGCCAGACACAACAGGAUCCACUGCAGCACAGAGGGA
This 526-nucleotide long non-coding RNA is filed under the name Coturnix japonica (Japanese quail). RNAcentral describes it as "lncRNA (ENSCJPG00005016147.1)". Lineage: Eukaryota; Metazoa; Chordata; Aves; Galliformes; Phasianidae. The record is from RNAcentral.